RNAcentral lists this unclassified non-coding RNA (359 nucleotides) under Hevea brasiliensis (rubber tree). The record is from RNAcentral. Lineage: Eukaryota; Viridiplantae; Streptophyta; Magnoliopsida; Malpighiales; Euphorbiaceae.
CAAUGUUUGACUCAGGGAGAUGGCAAAGGAAGAAGAUGCUUUCCCAAUCCAAAUCUUUAAUCUCAGUUUAGACGCAUCAAGGCCUUUGCAGGCCACCAUUUCCUUGAAUCUCUGUUCCAUGCAUUUCCUGUAGUCACCCUUUGUCAUACUUUCUACUGUGUCGAAGAACUCUGGAUCCAUUCCCUGGUUCAGCAAUGCCACAUAACUUCAGGCCUGAAAGCCACUUCCUUUAAGAGGGCAGCAACUUGAAAUGACGGGACUACCAAAACCACCCAGAAAGCAGAGAAAUCGAGGGUUGAGUCAACUAUGUCACCAAGUUCAAAUAUACCAAAGAGAAAAAAAUCAACCCUGAGCCAGCA